AUGAGACAUGAAGCAGUUACAGCUUAUCGAGGACAUGAACCUAGAUGAGAAUGUAUAGAGGACACAAAUUAGGAGAAGGCUAGUGCAUGUGGGGGGGUCGUAGCCAGUAGUUAGGUGAGCUUUGGGGUAGCCGGGCUGGUAGUCUUAGGGAUAUGUUCAAAGGUUGGAGCUGAUAGUAGGAGGGUAUGGGGGUGGUGGGUUCCUUGGUUCAUCCGUGUAGGGUAUUACUUUAUGGGUGUCUUAUUUUUUCUAUUUUUUUUGUUUCAUGCGUUAUUAUGACUUUGAUUAUAAUUCUUUGUCUUGAGCCGGGGGUCUACUGGAAACAACCUCUCUACUUCUUCGGAAGUAGUGGUAUGGACUGCGUACAUUUCAGCCUCCCCACACCCCACUAUGUGGGAAUACAUUGGGUUUUUUGAUACGGGUUUCACGGGCUCUAGACCAUUUACUAGAAGUCAAGCUCGGGAACUACAAAUGCUUCAAGGCAUGUUUAUGAAAAUAGACGCGAUUGAUCUUGUUCCAAACUCUCCCAAGGGAGUGUACAUAUUGACAUGUGGGGUCUUACAUUAGGGGCCCAAAAUACACCCCCAAGGCUGCCCCAAACACUCCAUGCCCUCC
Molecule: long non-coding RNA, 615 nt
Filed under: Capsicum annuum
Lineage: Eukaryota; Viridiplantae; Streptophyta; Magnoliopsida; Solanales; Solanaceae
Description: long non-coding RNA (CANN_LNC006837)
Source: RNAcentral